GACGAACGCUGGCGGCGUGCUUAACACAUGCAAGUCGAACGGUAAGGCCCUUCGGGGUACACGAGUGGCGAACGGGUGAGUAACACGUGGGUGAUCUGCCCUGCACUUCGGGAUAAGCCUGGGAAACUGGGUCUAAUACCGGAUAGGACCUCGGGAUGCAUGUCCUGUGGUGGAAAGCUUUUGCGGUGUGGGAUGGGCCCGCGGCCUAUCAGCUUGUUGGUGGGGUGAUGGCCUACCAAGGCGACGACGGGUAGCCGGUCUGAGAGGGUGACCGGCCACACUGGGACUGAGAUACGGCCCAAACUCCUACGGGAGGCAGCAGUGGGGAAUAUUGCACAAUGGGCGCAAGCCUGAUGCAGCGACGCCGCGUGAGGGAUGACGGCCUUCGGGUUGUAAACCUCUUUCAGCACCGACGAAGCGCAAGUGACGGUAGGUGCGGAAGAAGGACCGGCCAACUACGUGCCAGCAGCCGCGGUAA
Molecule: ribosomal RNA, 478 nt
Filed under: uncultured bacterium
Lineage: Bacteria
Description: partial 16S ribosomal RNA
Rfam family: Bacterial small subunit ribosomal RNA
Source: RNAcentral